This 453-nucleotide ribosomal RNA is filed under the name uncultured bacterium. RNAcentral's name for it is "partial 16S ribosomal RNA". It matches the Rfam family "Bacterial small subunit ribosomal RNA", at positions 29 to 523 of the family's 1533-position model. The record is from RNAcentral.
AACGAACGCUGGCGGCAUGCCUAACACAUGCAAGUCGAACGGAUGCAGCAAUGCAUCAGUGGCAGACGGGUGAGUAACACGUGGGAAUCUACCCAGUAGCCUGGAAUAACCGCGGGAAACUGCGGCUAAUACCGGAUACGCCCCUCGGGGGAAAGGAGCAAUCCACUAUUGGAGGAGCCCGCGUCCGAUUAGCUAGUUGGUGAGGUAACGGCUCACCAAGGCGAUGAUCGGUAGCUGGUUUGAGAGAACGACCAGCCACACUGGGACUGAGGCACGGCCCAGACUCCUACGGGAGGCAGCAGUGGGGAAUAUUGGACAAUGGGGGAAACCCUGAUCCAGCAAUGCCGCGUGGGUGAUGAAGGCCUUCGGGUUGUAAAGCCCUUUUGGCGGGGACGAUGAUGACGGUACCCGCAGAAGAAGCCCCGGCUAACUUCGUGCCAGCAGCCGCCGUAA